RNAcentral lists this ribosomal RNA (462 nucleotides) under uncultured bacterium. RNAcentral describes it as "partial 16S ribosomal RNA". It matches the Rfam family "Bacterial small subunit ribosomal RNA", at positions 28 to 507 of the family's 1533-position model. The record is from RNAcentral.
GACGAACGCUGGCGGCGUGCUUAACACAUGCAAGUCGAGCGGUAAGGCCUUUCGGGGUACACGAGCGGCGAACGGGUGAGUAACACGUGGGUGAUCUGCCCUGCACUUCGGGAUAAGCCUGGGAAACUGGGUCUAAUACCGGAUAUGACCUCCUAUCGCAUGGUGGGUGGUGGAAAGAUUUAUCGGUGCAGGAUGGGCCCGCGGCCUAUCAGCUUGUUGGUGGGGUAAUGGCCUACCAAGGCGACGACGGGUAGCCGACCUGAGAGGGUGACCGGCCACACUGGGACUGAGACACGGCCCAGACUCCUACGGGAGGCAGCAGUGGGGAAUAUUGCACAAUGGGCGAAAGCCUGAUGCAGCGACGCCGCGUGAGGGAUGACGGCCUUCGGGUUGUAAACCUCUUUCAGCAGGGACGAAGCGCAAGUGACGGUACCUGCAGAAGAAGCACUGGCUAACUACGUG